AGCGAACGCUGGCGGCAGGCCUAACACAUGCAAGUCGAACGAACCUUUCGGGGUUAGUGGCGGACGGGUGAGUAACACGUGGGAACGUGCCUUUAGGUUCGGAAUAACUCAGGGAAACUUGUGCUAAUACCGAAUGUGCCCUUCGGGGGAAAGAUUAAUCGCCUUUAGAGCGGCCCGCGUCUGAUUAGCUAGUUGGUUGAGGUAAUGGCUCACCAAGGCGACGAUCAGUAGCUGGUCUGAGAGGAUGAUCAGCCACAUUAGGACUGAGACACGGCCCAAACUCCUACGGGAGGCAGCAGUGGGGAAUCUUGCGCAAUGGGCGAAAGCCUGACGCAGCCAUGCCGCGUGAAUGAUGAAGGUCUUAGGAUUGUAAAAUUCUUUCACCGGGGACGAUAAUGACGGUACCCGGAGAAGAAGCCCCGGCUAACUUCGUG
Molecule: ribosomal RNA, 434 nt
Filed under: uncultured bacterium
Lineage: Bacteria
Description: partial 16S ribosomal RNA
Rfam family: Bacterial small subunit ribosomal RNA
Source: RNAcentral